This 1927-nucleotide long non-coding RNA is filed under the name Nicotiana tabacum (common tobacco). Its description in RNAcentral is "long non-coding RNA (NTAB_LNC012625)". The record is from RNAcentral. Lineage: Eukaryota; Viridiplantae; Streptophyta; Magnoliopsida; Solanales; Solanaceae.
UCACCUCACACCCCAGAGACCCCUUCGUCUCCCUAAUCACCACCAACCGCUGGAAAUCGCCCACGGCGGCGGUCGACCACCAAACGCCCCAAAUCUCACACCAAAGCUCCCUCUCCCCUUCCUUAUCUUGAAUCCACCAUCAGCUCCCUUCAAAUCCCACAGGAAUCCCUCAAAACUCCGAAACCCUAGCCGCCGCCCUUGUUUUCUCCAAUGGCGGUGUCGACUCCUAUCCUCACCAAAAUUACACCCCGGGACCUCCACGAACCCCUCUUCCCAAAUCCCAUAUCAGUUUCCUUCGAACACCCUUGAAUCCUCUCGAAUCUGGAUUUGAAGACGAACCCUAGAAAUUCCAAAAUCCUGAAUCGAGUGUUCGUUGAAUUUUUACGGUCUAAAUUGAUUUUAUUCGUGUGUUCUUGUUAAGAACACACGAUUAACUUCAAAAUCGGUCAGAACUCGGAUGAUUUGAAGACCCAGGCUCCCUCUUUCAUUUCUCGAACCUUUUCGUGGGUACUUUCUUUUCUUUCUUCGGUUUAGUCUUUUCUUCAUUUGUUUUUCUGCUUUCUGCUUCUUCCCGUGCUUUUGAAAAUCUUAGUUUUCUAAUUUUAGAGUGUUAAUUACAUGCGCGUUAGUUUUUUUGUUAAGAAGUUUUCUUUUCUUUAAGUAGUUUAAGAAUUUGUUAAUAAUUUAGUUCAAAUUUCAUUAAGUGCUUAGUUGCAUCAAUUGGAAUAAGUAGAAAUUUUGCCCGAAUUGUUUUUGUUUCUGUGGAUUUCAUUUAGAGUUGGGGUUUGUUAGUAAAUACUAAAUUGGGUUGGUUUCAUGUUGGGUUUGAAAGCCCAAAGAAAGAGGUCAGUCCAGGUUGGGGUUAAAUGUUGGGUCAACUUGACCCAUGAGCUGAAAGGUAGCUAGUUAACCAAGGUAAUAACAGGGUCAUUAAGGGGUAAAUUGGGAAACUUGGGUAGGGAAUAUUUUUCUAACUAACUAGGAAGCUUCUAGGAAGUUGGGGAGGGAGACUAUUUUGAAGUUCUGAGAUUUAAAAGAGGGAUGCCUCAGCUAAAAUGAAAAUUUCAGAAGGUUUUAAGUACAAAAAUUGAUCCCUUAAGGCUGCCCUACUUGCCUUGCCUAUAAAGUUAGUCUUUCUUGCCUUUCAAGGCAGAGACUUUAAGGGAGGAACAUUCUGAAAAAUCAGAGAAAAAAGGAGAGCAAAAAAUUCCAGAAAUAUAAAAAUGGCAGCUUCUUUAUAAGUCAAAAUAUAACUUGGAAAUCUAGGGAAUUUCUGAAAAGUAUUGAAAGUCCUGCUUAGUUUUUGCUUUUCUGAUCUGAUUAACUUGGUUGAAAUGACUGAAAACUCAAGGUUUUGGUUCUGAUUGUGGAAUGAGUUGAGUUUGGUUAUCUUUGGAAAUUGUUGGUUUACGUUUGGUAUUUUGGUUAUUGUUUCAUCAAUUCUGGGCACUGUUCCUCUGUUAUCUGCUGCUGCUUGGCUGUUGAUCUCACCUCUCUUAUUUCCUUUCAUUUUUCAGGUAUGUUUUAACACUUUAGAACAUGUGAGAUGUGAAAGAUGUAGCCCUGUGGUUGAUAGUGAAUGAAUUGAUUACUGAAGAACUAUUCAUGUGUGUUUUGUCCAAAUUAAUUUGAUUGCUUGAAUAAAUUUUGCGUUCAGUUAUGAUCAAGCCAUGUAUGUUAAGGCUAUGCUUGAACUUUGGUUUCUUAUUUUAACUCUAGCUUAACUAAGAUUCCCUAUCAGAUAAUCAUGUAUUGGGGCUGUUAUGAUGGAUGCUACUAUGAGUCUAUUUGAGUUCUGCACCUAUAAUUGGUGUUUAGAUUUGAUGAUAUGAGUUAAUCACUAGAAUUGUUAUGAUUGGAAACUCUACAGUUCAUGUAAUUGGUUUGAAUAAUAGCGGCGGGUGCCGAAAUAUGUCUAGUUUUAUCU